GUAAGGAAUAUUGCACAAUGGGGGAAACCCUGAUGCAGCAACGCCGCGUGGGCGACGAAGGUCUUCGGAUCGUAAAGCCCUUUUCUACGGGAAGAGACAGGACGGUACCGUAGGAAUAAGUCUCGGCUAACUACGUGCCAGCAGCCGCGGUAAAACGUAGGAGGCUAGCGUUAUCCGGAUUUACUGGGCGUAAAGCGCGUGCAGGCGGUCAGUUAAGUCAGGCGUGAAAUCUCUCGGCUCAACCGGGAGGGGUCGUUUGAGACUGGCUGACUUGAGUGCAGGAGAGGGAAGCAGAAUUCCCGGUGUAGCGGUAAUAUGCGCAGAUAUCGGGAGGAAUACCAGUGGCGAAGGCGGCUUCCUGGCCUGUAACUGACGCUAAGACGCGAAAGCUAGGGGAGCGAACGGGAUUAGAUACCCCGGUAGUCC
This 426-nucleotide ribosomal RNA is filed under the name uncultured bacterium. RNAcentral describes it as "bacterial SSU rRNA". It matches the Rfam family "Bacterial small subunit ribosomal RNA", at positions 354 to 796 of the family's 1533-position model. The record is from RNAcentral.